RNAcentral lists this ribosomal RNA (253 nucleotides) under uncultured bacterium. RNAcentral describes it as "partial 16S ribosomal RNA". It matches the Rfam family "Bacterial small subunit ribosomal RNA", at positions 524 to 776 of the family's 1533-position model. The record is from RNAcentral.
UACAUGGGGUGCAAACGUUGCUCGGAAUCAUUGGGCGUAAAGCGCACGUAGGCGGCCACUUAAGUCGGAUGUGAAAGCCCUUGGCUUAACCGAGGAAGUGCAUCCGAAACUGAGCGGCUUGAGUACGAAAGAGGGUCGCGGAAUUCCCGGUGUAGAGGUGAAAUUCGUAGAUAUCGGGAGGAACACCGGCGGCGAAGGCGGCGACCUGGUUCGAGACUGACGCUGAGGUGCGAAAGCGUGGGGAGCAAACAGG